GACGAACGCUGGCGGCGUGCUUAACACAUGCAAGUCGAACGGAAAGGCCCUGCUUUUGUGGGGUGCUCGAGUGGCGAAAGGGUGAGUAACACGUGAGUAACCUGCCCUUGACUUUGGGAUAACUUCAGGAAACUGGGGCUAAUACCGGAUAGGAGCUCCUGCUGCAUGGUGGGGGUUGGAAAAUUUCGGCGGUUGGGGAUGGACUCGCGGCUUAUCAGCUUGUUGGUGGGGUAGUGGCUUACCAAGGCUUUGACGGGUAGCCGGCCUGAGAGGGUGACCGGCCACAUUGGGACUGAGAUACGGCCCAGACUCCUACGGGAGGCAGCAGUGGGGAAUAUUGCACAAUGGGCGGAAGCCUGAUGCAGCAACGCCGCGUGCGGGAUGACGGCCUUCGGGUUGUAAACCGCUUUCGCCUGUGACGAAGCGUGAGUGACGGUAAUGGGUAAAGAAGCACCGGCUAACUACGUG
This 468-nucleotide ribosomal RNA is filed under the name uncultured bacterium. Its description in RNAcentral is "partial 16S ribosomal RNA". It matches the Rfam family "Bacterial small subunit ribosomal RNA", at positions 28 to 507 of the family's 1533-position model. The record is from RNAcentral.